UCUAACAUUUUAGGUUAUCUCGUUGUCAUUUUCAUGCUCCUCACUCUCGAUCCCUCUCUCCAUCGGUAAACUCAUCCUACUCUCGAUCCUCUCUCUUCACUUCAACCAAAACCCUAAUCCUAGAUCUCUUUCUCUUCCUCCAUCGAUGGGAUUUCUGAAUCCUAAUCUCCCCUCAUGCGAUAACAGCGAUCCUUGUGAUAUGGCGAACACCUAAUCCCCAUCCUCAUGAACCCUAAACUCCCCUCUCUGGCGACAACGGCGGCGAUCCUCAAGAGGAAGAGAAAGAAGAGGAGGCGGUGAUUAGUUCAAAUUUGGUUGAUCUCAAUUUUCCGUUGAUGAUUGAUGAGAAUUUGAGCAAAGGGAGUGUUUCUGUUGCUGGUGCUGAUUUUAGAUCUUCGCUGUUUGGAAGUAAUCUUCAGCAUGAGGCAGUGGCUGCUUUGAUUAACAAUUGGAGUUGUUCAGAUUCCUCUUCUGUGAUUGACUUUUCAUUCUUUUGGGGGCUUGAAGAUUUUUGUUGGCGCACGCCACCUAUAACCGGACACUGAUCGUGGCCAUCAAUCGGCGUUCAUUGUGGAAUUGUUGCAUGCAUAAGUGUCACCGAAACUCUUAACUAGAGCUCCUGCUUCUCAUAGACUAAUCAAUCGUCCAGCGAGCUUCUUAGUGAAGAAGUUUUUGAUUUCUCAAGAGGGGAGAUGACUCAGCAGAAAAUCAAAGAACUGAAACAAUGAUUAAACAGGCAAGAAAAUUUCAUUUUUUUAGGUUAUACACCCAUCAGUUUAGGAUGCUGGAAUAAACAUGUACCACAUACUUUCUUAAAUGCAGCUGUAUAGAUAUAGUCUGUAUGCAUUUUUUUUUAAGGAAGAUGCAGAAAGACGUUGACAUGGUUUUGUAUACAAGUACAAGGAUGAUACAUAUACUGCAGAAUAGGAAUUUAAAAUUCCAUAUAGAUUAUUACAAAAAGAAAAGCUGGCAUCAUCUGUGUUAAACUGUUCGUGAGACUGAAUCACAACUUAAUGUAUUACUAUAGUCCUCUGUAUGUUCAAUCUUAAUUUCAAAUUU
Long non-coding RNA from Asparagus officinalis (garden asparagus), 1059 nucleotides. RefSeq lists it as uncharacterized. The transcript has 3 exons. NCBI's taxonomy places the organism in Eukaryota, Viridiplantae, Streptophyta, Magnoliopsida, Asparagales, Asparagaceae. The record is from RefSeq and is a predicted model, not a curated record.